This 337-nucleotide unclassified non-coding RNA is filed under the name soil metagenome. RNAcentral's name for it is "partial contains 5.8S ribosomal RNA, internal transcribed spacer 2, and large subunit ribosomal RNA". The stretch from base 1 to 120 matches the Rfam family "5.8S ribosomal RNA", at positions 35 to 154 of the family's 154-position model. The record is from RNAcentral.
GAUGAAGAACGUAGCGAAAUGCGAUAAGUAAUGUGAAUUGCAGAAUUCAGUGAAUCAUCGAAUCUUUGAACGCACAUUGCGCCCCUUGGUAUUCCAUGGGGCAUGCCUGUUCGAGCGUCAUUUGUACCUUCAAGCUCUGCUUGGUGUUGGGUGUUUGUCUCGCCUCUGCGUGUAGACUCGCCUCAAAACAAUUGGCAGCCGGCGUAUUGAUUUCGGAGCGCAGUACAUCUCGCGCUUUGCACUCAUAACGACGACGUCCAAAAGUACAUUUUUACACUCUUGACCUCGGAUCAGGUAGGGAUACCCGCUGAACUUAAGCAUAUCAAUAAGCGGAGGA